RNAcentral lists this ribosomal RNA (1343 nucleotides) under uncultured bacterium. Its description in RNAcentral is "16S ribosomal RNA". It matches the Rfam family "Bacterial small subunit ribosomal RNA", at positions 28 to 1378 of the family's 1533-position model. The record is from RNAcentral.
GACGAACGCUCGUGGCGGGCUUAACACAUGCAAGUCGAACGGAAAGGCCCUGCUUUUGUGGGGUGCUCGAGUGGCGAACGGGUGAGUAACACGUGAGUAACCUGCCCUUGACUUUGGGAUAACUUCAGGAAACUGGGGCUAAUACCGGAUAGGAGCUCCUGCUGCAUGGUGGGGGUUGGAAAGUUUCGGCGGUUGGGGAUGGACUCGCGGCUUAUCAGCUUGUUGGUGGGGUAGUGGCUUACCAAGGCUUUGACGGGUAGCCGGCCUGAGAGGGUGACCGGCCACAUUGGGACUGAGAUACGGCCCAGACUCCUACGGGAGGCAGCAGUGGGGAAUAUUGCACAAUGGGCGGAAGCCUGAUGCAGCAACGCCGCGUGCGGGAUGACGGCCUUCGGGUUGUAAACCGCUUUCGCCUGUGACGAAGCGUGAGUGACGGUAAUGGGUAAAGAAGCACCGGCUAACUACGUGCCAGCAGGCGCGGUGAUACGUAGGGUGCGAGCGUUGUCCGGAUUUAUUGGGCGUAAAGGGCUCGUAGGUGGUUGAUCGCGUCGGAAGUGUAAUCUUGGGGCUUAACCCUGAGCGUGCUUUCGAUACGGGUUGACUUGAGGAAGGUAGGGGAGAAUGGAAUUCCUGGUGGAGCGGUGGAAUGCGCAGAUAUCAGGAGGAACACCAGUGGCGAAGGCGGUUCUCUGGGCCUUUCCUGACGCUGAGGAGCGAAAGCGUGGGGAGCGAACAGGCUUAGAUACCCUGGUAGUCCACGCUGUAAACGGUGGGUACUAGGUGUGGGGUCCAUUCCACGGGUUCCGUGCCGUAGCUAACGCUUUAAGUACCCCGCCUGGGGAGUACGGCCGCAAGGCUAAAACUCAAAGGAAUUGACGGGGCCCCGCACAAGCGGCGGAGCAUGCGGAUUAAUUCGAUGCAACGCGUAGAACCUUACCUGGGUUUGACAUGGAUCGGGAGUGCUCAGAGAUGGGUGUGCCUCUUUUGGGGUCGGUUCACAGGUGGUGCAUGGCUGUCGUCAGCUCGUGUCGUGAGAUGUUGGGUUAAGUCCCGCAACGAGCGCAACCCUUGUUCACUGUUGCCAGCACGUUAUGGUGGGGACUCAGUGGAGACCGCCGGGGUCAACUCGGAGGAAGGUGGGGAUGACGUCAAGUCAUCAUGCCCCUUAUGUCCAGGGCUUCACGCAUGCUACAAUGGCUGGUACAGAGAGUGGCGAGCCUGUGAGGGUGAGCGAAUCUCGGAAAGCCGGUCUCAGUUCGGAUUGGGGUCUGCAACUCGACCUCAUGAAGUCGGAGUCGCUAGUAAUCGCAGAUCAGCAACGCUGCGGUGAAUACGUUCCCGGG